RNAcentral lists this transfer RNA (68 nucleotides) under Marmota monax (woodchuck). RNAcentral's name for it is "tRNA.Ala". Lineage: Eukaryota; Metazoa; Chordata; Mammalia; Rodentia; Sciuridae. The record is from RNAcentral.
GGAAUGUGGCUUAGUGGUGGAGUGCUUGCCUCGCAUGCUUGAGGCCCUGGGUUCAAUCUGCAGCACCA